GUGCAGCAGGCGCGAAAACUUCACACUGUGCGAAAGCACGAUGAGGGAAUCCCAAGUGCUUGCACGUAAGUGUAAGCUGUUUCUCUGUUUAAAACGCAGAGAGAGUAAGGGCUGGGUAAGACGGGUGCCAGCCGCCGCGGUAAUACCUGCAGCUCAAGUGGUGACCGUUAUUAUUGGGCCUAAAACGUCCGUAGCCGGUUUAAUAAAUGCCUGGGUAAAUCGUGUAGCUUAACUAUACGAAUUCCGGGUAGACUGUUAAACUCGAGACCGGGAGAAGUUAGAGGUACUCCUGGGGUAGAGGUGAAAUUCUGUAAUCCUAGGGGGACCACCAGUGGCGAAGGCGUCUAACUAGAACGGGUCUGACGGUGAGGGACGAAGCCCUGGGGCGCAAACGGGAUUAGAUACCCCCGUAGU
This 414-nucleotide ribosomal RNA is filed under the name uncultured microorganism. Its description in RNAcentral is "bacterial SSU rRNA". It matches the Rfam family "Archaeal small subunit ribosomal RNA", at positions 330 to 745 of the family's 1478-position model. The record is from RNAcentral.